UACAGAGGGGGCAAGCGUUAUUCGGAAUUAUUGGGCGUAAAGGGCGCGUAGGCGGCCUUGCAAGUGACGGGUGAAAUCCCUCGGCUUAACCGAGGAACUGCCUGUCAGACUGCAUGGCUUGAGACCGGGAGAGGUGAGUGGAAUUCCCAGUGUAGCGGUGAAAUGCGUAGAUAUCGUAAGGAAGACCAGUGGCGAAGGCGGGUCUCUGGACAGUUCCUGACGCUGAGGCACGAAGGCCAGGGGAGCAAACGGG
This 253-nucleotide ribosomal RNA is filed under the name uncultured bacterium. RNAcentral describes it as "partial 16S ribosomal RNA". It matches the Rfam family "Bacterial small subunit ribosomal RNA", at positions 524 to 776 of the family's 1533-position model. The record is from RNAcentral.